This 395-nucleotide unclassified non-coding RNA is filed under the name soil metagenome. RNAcentral describes it as "partial contains 5.8S ribosomal RNA, internal transcribed spacer 2, and large subunit ribosomal RNA". The stretch from base 1 to 122 matches the Rfam family "5.8S ribosomal RNA", at positions 35 to 154 of the family's 154-position model. The record is from RNAcentral.
GAUGAAGAACGCAGUGAAAUGCGAUACUUGGUGUGAAUUGCAGAAUCCCGUGAACCAUCGAGUCUUUGAACGCAAGUUGCGCCCGAGGCCUCCUGGUCGAGGGCACGUCUGCCUGGGUGUCACGCAUCGUCGCCCCCUCUCCCCUCGGCUCGCGAGGGCGGGGGCGGAUACUGGUCUCCCGCGCGCUCCCGCUCGCGGUUGGCCCAAAAUCGAGUCCUCGGCGACGGUCGCCACGACGAGCGGUGGUUGAGAGACCCUCGGACACGGUCGUGCGCGCGCCUGUCGCCCCCGGGAUCUCCUGGACCCUCGGGCAUCGAAAUUCUAGGAUGCUCUCGUUGCAACCCCAGGUCAGGCGGGACUACCCGCUGAGUUUAAGCAUAUCAAUAAGCGGAGGA